UACGGAGGGGGCUAGCGUUGUUCGGAAUUACUGGGCGUAAAGCGCACGUAGGCGGCUUUGUAAGUUAGAGGUGAAAGCCCAGGGCUUAACCCUGGAAUUGCCUUUAAGACUGCAUCGCUUGAAUUGUGGAGAGGUGAGUGGAAUUCCGAGUGUAGAGGUGAAAUUCGUAGAUAUUAGGAAGAACACCGGUGGCGAAGGCGGCUCACUGGCUCGUAACUGACGCUCAUGCACGACAGCGUGGGGAUCAAACAGG
RNAcentral lists this ribosomal RNA (253 nucleotides) under uncultured bacterium. RNAcentral describes it as "partial 16S ribosomal RNA". It matches the Rfam family "Bacterial small subunit ribosomal RNA", at positions 524 to 776 of the family's 1533-position model. The record is from RNAcentral.